UACGUAGGGGGCUAGCGUUGUCCGGAAUCAUUGGGCGUAAAGCGCGCGUAGGCGGCCCGGUAAGUCCGCUGUGAAAGUCAAAGGCUCAACCUUUGAAUGUCAGCGGAUACUGCCGGGCUAGAGUCCGGAAGAGGCGAGUGGAAUUCCUGGUGUAGCGGUGGAAUGCGCAGAUAUCAGGAGGAACACCGAUGGCGAAGGCAGCUCGCUGGGACGGUACUGACGCUGAGGCGCGAAAGCGUGGGGAGCGAACGGG
RNAcentral lists this ribosomal RNA (253 nucleotides) under uncultured bacterium. RNAcentral describes it as "partial 16S ribosomal RNA". It matches the Rfam family "Bacterial small subunit ribosomal RNA", at positions 524 to 776 of the family's 1533-position model. The record is from RNAcentral.